This 843-nucleotide long non-coding RNA is filed under the name Heterocephalus glaber (naked mole-rat). Its description in RNAcentral is "lncRNA (ENSHGLG00100035033.1)". Lineage: Eukaryota; Metazoa; Chordata; Mammalia; Rodentia; Bathyergidae. The record is from RNAcentral.
UCCAAACAGAACUUGGAACCCUUGUUAAUGGGUGUCACAAUCUAGUAACAGCCAUCUCCCAAGCUUACUUGGCCAGAGUCGGUCAACAGCGAACAUGCUGAGCUGCUUCUCCACUUCGAGAGGCUGCAGCCUCAGGACCCCAGGUAGAGAAAGUAUCUAUGAAAGAUUAAGAAGAUGGCUGACUCCAUCCAGAUGCCACAGGCCAUGCUGCAGCAGCCACACAACUGUCACAGACACCCCAGGGACGGUCUCCCCAGGAGUGACCACCAGUGACCUACCAAAAUCAAGAACAUCCUAAAGUGCCUUGUCCAGGAGGAGAGAAAUCCAUCCACCACAGAGCUGCAGGCUGCUGGAGAAAGCUGUAUUAUGUGAAUGGCCACACUUUUCAAGCCAAACAGUUCAGCAGGUCUCAUUUUACAUCCCUGUAAUAACCACCCUCAGCUCUGCAUUUUGAAAGCAACACAUCAGCCUUGAUCUCAAAGACUGAAGUUCAGCAGAAGUGCAGGUAGAAAUGAAAGACUAACUCGAAGGCGGAGGACCAACCCUCUGAGAUGUGGACACAAACCCUCUGAGUUCACAGGAUAUUGUAAAGGAAGGUGACAGGAGCAGUAAAUAAGCCACUGCAGUAGAUCAGGGGUCAGCAGCCUUUUAAAAGGGGUGAACUGGAGAGCUGACCUCUAUCCUUCUGGCCUGCUGUUCCCUUGCUGACCACAUCUUUGAAAUAGAAGAGGCCAAAUUCCCAUCUGUAAGUCUCUGGGUGGAAAAGACUUCUGGCCCUCAUACUGCUGGUGGCCCAGCCACCCACAUGGAUAAUGAAGAGCUGUGUGUUAAACUCUACUUCGG